UGGGGAAUUUUGGACAAUGGGCGAAAGCCUGAUCCAGCAAUGCCGCGUGUGUGAAGAAGGCCUUCGGGUUGUAAACCGCUUUUGUCAGGGAAGAAAUCUUCUGAGUUAAUACCUCGGGAGGAUGACGGUACCUGAAGAAUAAGCACCGGCUAACUACGUGCCAGCAGCCGCGGUAAUACGUAGGGUGCAAGCGUUAAUCGGAAUUACUGGGCGUAAAGCGUGCGCAGGCGGUUUUGUAAGACAGAGGUGAAAUCCCCGGGCUCAACCUGGGAACUGCCUUUGUGACUGCAAGGCUUGAGUGCGGCAGAGGGGGAUGGAAUUCCGCGUGUAGCAGUGAAAUGCGUAGAUAUGCGGAGGAACACCGAUGGCGAAGGCAAUCCCCUGGGCCUGCACUGACGCUCAUGCACGAAAGCGUGGGGAGCAAACAGGAUUAGAUACCCUGGUAGUCCACGCCCUAAACGAUGUCAACUGGUUGUUGGGAAGGUUCCUUCUCAGUAACGUAGCUAACGCGUGAAGUUGACCGCCUGGGGAGUACGGCCGCAAGGUUGAAACUCAAAUGAAUUGACGGGGUCAUAGCUGUUUCCUG
RNAcentral lists this ribosomal RNA (586 nucleotides) under uncultured bacterium. RNAcentral describes it as "partial 16S ribosomal RNA". It matches the Rfam family "Bacterial small subunit ribosomal RNA", at positions 355 to 1376 of the family's 1533-position model. The record is from RNAcentral.